This 1268-nucleotide long non-coding RNA is filed under the name Helianthus annuus (common sunflower). RNAcentral's name for it is "hypothetical non coding rna". The record is from RNAcentral. Lineage: Eukaryota; Viridiplantae; Streptophyta; Magnoliopsida; Asterales; Asteraceae.
GGCUUAGCCGGGGCGGUGCCAUUUUCAUCAAUCCAUCCUUUAAACACGAAUCCGAAUCCUCCUUCACCCAAUAUGCUAUCCGGUCUGAAGUUUCCUGUAGCCGAUUUCAGCUCAUGAAAACUGAACUGAAGAAGAUGAUUUGGGUUCAGAUCAGAAGAGCUUCGUGGUUCGUUAGGAGCACACAUCUCGCGGUUGCUGGCAUUCAAGUACCUGGUCUCUGUAGCUAAACAAGAACAAUGAAUCAAUCGAAUUAUAUGAUAUCAAAUCACUAAUCAACUAUAUUAUGAUAUUGAGUAAAUUGCCAAAAUGGUUCAUGUGUUUAAGUCACCUUUGCUACUUCAGUCUAAAACAUUUUGUAUCUGGUCCCUGAGGUUUCAUUUUUGUUGUCAUUUCCAUCAAAUUGGCAAACUAGGUUAGAAAUUUCUGCCUUUUUUGUCGUUUUUCUCAUUUAAAUGAGGGAGUUCCUGAUGGAGGUCAGACAUAAAAUGACAAUUAUACCCUCCAUUUAAAUGAAGAAAACGACAAAAAGGGGAGAGGUUAACAAAAAUUUCUAACCCACUUUGCUAAUUGGAUGGAAAUGACAACAAAAAUGAAACCAUAAAAAAAGUUUCAUUUUUGACUGAAGUAGUAAAAAUGACCUAAACUCAGGGACCAUUUUGACAUUUUAAUCUAUAACGUUUUACAAGUUUUUAGGGGAUAUACGAGAUCACUCAUAUAACAAAGAGAGAAUUUCAUAUAUUCCUGUCUAAAAUUGUAAAAUAGCAUAUUUUCCGAAAGCACAAGUUUUCGAUACAAAAUGCUCUUCAAGUUUGUUUUGAGAAAAUAUCAUAUCAUUAGAUUAGAUGAGAUAAAAUGAUACAAUAAAAUACUUACUAUAAAGGUGGUAACUUGUUUUAAAUACAAUAAAAAUAAAUUACCAGCAUCAUAAACAAGACUGUUUCUAGGGAAAGAAGUGAGGGAGUUUGAUCUUGAUUCAGCAGAAGGUUUACAAGAGCCACUGCUUACACUGCGCCGCAAAACUGACCAACACCCGCACGUGAUCUCCAUGAUGGAUAGAAUUGUUGGUAUUAAUCUUUUUUCAUGUGGGUUUUCAUGAUUCAAGAAAUCUUGAGAUCAUAUGAGCAAAGAUCAAGAUUUGGAUUCCUCUAAUCUUGUUCGGUGUUUAUAGUUCAAAAAAUCUUGAAAUCAUAUGAAAAAAGGAUGAUUUUAAGCACUAUCCAUUCUCUUUAUAUCACUCAAAUUGGUGUUUCUUUAUGUGGGUAGAAUGA